Zonotrichia leucophrys gambelii is the source of this 2259-nucleotide long non-coding RNA. RefSeq lists it as uncharacterized. NCBI's taxonomy places the organism in Eukaryota, Metazoa, Chordata, Aves, Passeriformes, Passerellidae. The transcript has 6 exons. The record is from RefSeq and is a predicted model, not a curated record.
ACAAGAUCAAUUCAGGCACAGCUCUGAGCCUUUGGCUCUUGUCUGACCUUUACUGUGGGUGUGCUUGCACCCAGUGCUGGCUCUGACCGUUCAUCUGGUUGGACCUCUAGCUUUGCCUCCUGCUCCUUGGGACUGGACUCUGAAGUGUCCUCUGGACCUGAUCCUUUAGCUUGCCCUAUAAAACACAAGUUAUGCUUAUCAUAAAGCAAUAUUUAGUCUCCACUCAUCCCAUGUACAAUAGGUACAAGCCUCUGGCAGUCAAAGCAAACACUGAUGAAGAUGAUGGCUCACCAAGUUUGGAGGUAACCUUUGCCAAGGUUAGCUGAGCAGCUGUCACUGGGCUUGUUCAGCUUAGAGAACGCUGAGUGGAGACCUCGGUGGAGCCCAGGACUUUCUCAAGGGGACAAUGGGAAGGGAAGUGCUGAUCAUCUCCCCCUGGUGACCAGCAAGAGGACUGGAAGGAAGCUGCAUCAGGAGAAGUUCAGAUUCAACAUUUGGAAAAGCUCCUUCACUGAGAAGAUGGUUAGGUGCUGGAGCAGAGUCCCCAGGGAAGGGUUGUGGGACCAAGCCUGAGAGUUCAACUAGUGUCUGGAGGAUGCUGUCAUAUAUUUUAGCAUUAGGUAGUCCUAUGAGGGGCAGGGAACUGAGCUGAAUGAUCCCUAUGGGUCCCUUCCUAUUUGAGAUAUCUUAUGAUUUAUAAAGCCCAAAACACUCCUACUGGCUUUAUGAAGGCAUUGCUAUUGUAGGAACAAGGUCUUCCCAGGAGAAAAAUGAACAAUAUGGAAGGCUACAUUUGCUGAUCGAACUCUAAUCAUGAUUUUAGAAAGACAGAGCAAUUUGCAGCCAGUUGAGUAUCAGGAAGUAAUGCUGCUUGAUGAGUUGGCAGGACUUGCAUGCUCUUUCCCCAGCUUUGCCUGGCGGCUGAUGGAUCAGCCGUGCUGCUAACAGACAACGUGGCCUCUGACCACGGGUGGAGCAGCCCAACAGCCCAAAAGAAGGUGUGCUCUUGCAAGCUGAUUAGAGAAUUGGAAAAAUGAUGUUUCACUGACUUAUACACAGGGCUUCUGUAGCCUUCAUAAUGUAGUCAAUUCCCUGGACUGCAGAAAGAGUUGAGCCCCUCAGAAAUACAUCACAACAUAUUCAAGGCUGAUGGUGGAAUUCCGUUUUUAAGCCUACCUAGUGGAGUACCCAGCUGAAGAGGACAAAAAGUUGUUCUGUAGUGUUUUCUUUCAAAAGAAAAGAAAUCUAUUCAAAACAAUCAUCAAGCUAUUUUUGGUGUGGUUUGUCCCAAACAGCCCCGUGCAGAUGAUUAUAAGCUGCAUUUGUCUCUGCUCCUUGUUUCACAUGGAACAAGGUACUGUGGCUGCUCCUCUGAUCUCUACAAGGGCUCAAAUCCUGACAUGGAGAAGAGAAAUUCACUUGGGUCUCACAGGCUCUGAUUCAGCCCCCAAAACACCUCAGCACCUCAUUUGCCUGCUGUUCUUUCUCAAGCUGAACUUCCUGAAGAAGCCAUGAUAUGCAAGUAUCUCUGUCCCAGAGCAGUACAGCUCAGAGCAAGACCCCCAACACUCAGAAAAUGUGCCUGCCUCACCACAACCCCUUCAGCAAGAAGCCAGGUAAAAGUCUCAAGUAGCAUCCUUAAAAGUUCCCAAAAGUCUUGUGAGCAUCUAUAAAAUAUAAAACCAAAAUAUUAAAACACAGCAGAUGUGGUUCAAGCAUUUCUACAGACUUGAAGCGAUGCUUCCAUAACCAUCUAUUGCUUCUGGAGUGAGAAACUGGGGAAUGGUUAAGCUUUCUUGAGUGCUCCACAAAGGCAGUCAGCCCCAUGGGAACUGUUUUAAGGGCAAGUCCUCUGUCAAGAUGUUGAGUGGGGAAAGCCUCUGUACACAGAGGGUCACUGCAGUCAUCCCAUCUCUUGAAGUUUGUGGUCUUAGAUCUUGUGGAUCUGAUGUCAUUUGGGAAUGUUUGCUUUUGUUUUUGGCAAGCAUGUUUGCUAAAUCCAUUUUACUUGACUUCUUGCAAUGCAGUGUUUGUGCACAGUCUCCUUAUGCUCUUUGUACCAUGGUCACCAUCUGAUUUCUUCUAAGAGUGCAUCAAGCAACUCAACUAGUUAUCAUAUUUGUACACAGGAAUAUUUGAGGGGACUUUUACUUCUCCAGACACAAGUGCUCAUCUAUUCAUUAAAUGCAUUUACAAAAAAAAAAAAAAAAACACACCAAAAACAAAACUAAACAAAAAAAACACAAACCAAAAGAACAG